This 369-nucleotide long non-coding RNA is filed under the name Homo sapiens (human). Its description in RNAcentral is "HSALNT0056940". Lineage: Eukaryota; Metazoa; Chordata; Mammalia; Primates; Hominidae. The record is from RNAcentral.
GCUACUAGCCUUGGGGACAGAAGCUGAAGUGCAUUGGUGAACUCUUGGUGAUAAAAGAAGAUGCCUUAAACUUGCUUCUCUUCCUCGGGGGUCUCUUGGCUGAUCCUGCGCCUUGCAAUUCCAAAAAGUUUUACAAACAUCUGCUGAAAAUGUGCAUUGAUGUGUAGAGAUUUCAUGGUUGAGUUCUGAAUAUUUUUAACGUACAUUUUAAGGACCAGGCUAGCAGGCUGGAGCACAGGCCAAGGAGGAAGAGUAGCAGUUCAAGUCCAAAGCAGUCUCUAGGGAGAAUUCCCUCUUCUUUGAGGCAGAUUGGGCUUUUUCUUAAGGCCUUCAGCUAAUUAGGUGAAGGAGCUCAGCCAGAGUAUGACU